Molecule: ribosomal RNA, 253 nt
Filed under: uncultured bacterium
Lineage: Bacteria
Description: partial 16S ribosomal RNA
Rfam family: Bacterial small subunit ribosomal RNA
Source: RNAcentral
UACGAAGGGGGCUAGCGUUGCUCGGAAUCACUGGGCGUAAAGCGCACGUAGGCGGAUUGUUAAGUCGGGGGUGAAAUCCUGGAGCUCAACUCCAGAACUGCCUUCGAUACUGGCGAUCUCGAGUCCGGGAGAGGUGAGUGGAACUCCGAGUGUAGAGGUGAAAUUCGUAGAUAUUCGGAAGAACACCAGUGGCGAAGGCGGCUCACUGGCCCGGUACUGACGCUGAGGUGCGAAAGCGUGGGUAGCAAACAGG